GGGAUAGCCCGGGGAAACCCGGAUUAAUACCGCAUGAUGUCGAAAGACCAAAGUAGGGGACCGCAAGGCCCUACACUCUAAGAUGAGCCUAUGUCUGAUUAGCUAGUUGGCGGGGUAAUAGCCCACCAAGGCCACGACGGGUAGCUGGCGUGAGAGCGCGACCAGCCACACCGGGACUGAGAUACGGCCCGGACUCCUACGGGAGGCAGCAGUAGGGAAUAUUGGUCAAUGGACGAAAGUCUGAACCAGCGAUGCCGCGUGAGGGACGAAGGUCUUCGGAUUGUAAACCUCUGUUGUCAGGGAAGAAGCCGUAAAUUCGGUGACGGUACCUGACGAGGAAGCCCCGGCUAACUACGUGCCAGCAGCCGCGGUGAUACGUAGGGGGCGAGCGUUAUCCGGAUUCACUGGGCGUAAAGGGCGUGUAGGCGGUUUCGUAAGUCGGAUGUGAAAGCUCGGGGCUCAACCCCCGGAAGUGCACCCGAUACUGCGAUGACUUGAGGACGGUAGAGGUAGAUAGAACUAGCGGUGUAGCGGUGGAAUGCGCAGAUAUCGCUAGGAAUGCCGGUGGCGAAGGCGAUCUACUGGGCCGUUCCUGACGCUGAGGCGCGAAAGCGUGGGUAGCAAACCGGAUUAGAUACCCCGGGUAGUCCACGCCGUAAACGGUGGAUACUAGGUGUGGGUCCCUUGAGGAUCCGUGCCGGAGCUAACGCAUUAAGUAUCCCGCCUGGGGAGUACGGCCGCAAGGCUAAAACUCAAAGGAAUUGACGGGGGCCCGCACAAGCGGCGGAGCGCGUGGCUUAAUUCGAUGCAAAGCGCAGAACCUCACCAGGUUUUGACAUGCUAGUGGUAAGACGUAGAGAUACGAAUGACCCUUCGGGGAGCUAGCACAGGUGCUGCAUGGCUGUCGUCAGCUCGUGCCGUGAGGUGUUGGGUUAAGUCCCGCAACGAGCGCAACCCGCGUCCUCUUGUUGCCAGCGCAUAAUGGCGGGGACUCAAGGGAGACUGCCGGUGACAAACCGGAGGAAGGAGCGGAUGACGUCAAGUCCUCAUGGCCCUUACAACCUGGGCUGCACACGCGCUACAAUGGCCAGUACAGACCGUCCCGACACCGUAAGGUGG
Molecule: ribosomal RNA, 1119 nt
Filed under: uncultured bacterium
Lineage: Bacteria
Description: bacterial SSU rRNA
Rfam family: Bacterial small subunit ribosomal RNA
Source: RNAcentral